This 250-nucleotide unclassified non-coding RNA is filed under the name plant metagenome. RNAcentral's name for it is "partial contains small subunit ribosomal RNA, internal transcribed spacer 1, and 5.8S ribosomal RNA". The stretch from base 207 to 250 matches the Rfam family "5.8S ribosomal RNA", at positions 1 to 44 of the family's 154-position model. The record is from RNAcentral.
GUAGGUGAACCUGCGGAAGGAUCAUUAAUUUGUUGUGUAGCAAGAGCAACAGCAUUUUUUGUUGUUGUUCUUGGCUCUACCCACGUGGUGUGAACAUUUUUAGACUCACGAGCCCCCUUUUUUUCUUUCACAAGAACCAACAACCCAACAAACGAACAAAAAACACACGAACCAAAGAAAAACAUCAAAUAAUAGAGAAAAAAAACAACUCUAGGCAAUGGAUAUCUUGGUUCCCGCAUCGAUGAAGAAC